CUUCAGUGCUGCAGCUAACGCAUUAAGCACUCCGCCUGGGGAGUACGACCGCAAGGUUGAAACUCAAAGGAAUUGACGGGGGCCCGCACAAGCGGUGGAGCAUGUGGUUUAAUUCGAAGCAACGCGAAGAACCUUACCAGGUCUUGACAUCCUUUGACCACUCUAGAGAUAGAGCUUUCCCUUCGGGGACAAAGUGACAGGUGGUGCAUGGUUGUCGUCAGCUGGUGUCGUGAGAUGUUGGGUUAAGUCCCGCAACGAGCGCAACCCUUAUUGUUAGUUGCCAUCAUUCAGUUGGGCACUCUAGCGAGACUGCCGGUGACAAACCGGAGGAAGGUGGGGAUGACGUCAAAUCAUCAUGCCCCUUAUGACCUGGGCUACACGCGUGCUACAAUGGGAAGUACAACGAGUCGCUAGGCCGCGAGGUCAUGCAAAUCUCUUAAAGCUUCUCUCAGUUCGGAUUGCAGGCUGCAACUCGCCUGCAUGAAGCCGGAAUCGCUAGUAAUCGCGGAUCAGCACGCCGCGGUGAAUACGUUCCCGGGCCUUGUACACACCGCCCGUCACACCACGAAAGUUUGUAACACCCGAAGUCGGUGAGGUAACCUUUUGGAGCCAGCCGCCUAAGGUGGGAUAGAUGAUUGGGGUGAAGUCGUAACAAGGUAACCAAGGGCGAAUUCCAG
RNAcentral lists this ribosomal RNA (677 nucleotides) under uncultured Enterococcus sp. RNAcentral describes it as "bacterial SSU rRNA". It matches the Rfam family "Bacterial small subunit ribosomal RNA", at positions 838 to 1516 of the family's 1533-position model. The record is from RNAcentral. Lineage: Bacteria; Bacillati; Bacillota; Bacilli; Lactobacillales; Enterococcaceae.